UAUUAGCACAUACUAGUACAUAAACCUUUUGAACGACAAUAAGAUUUGAUAUCUGAUUUGAAUGCCCACUGUUGGCACCGCAAAAGUUGAGCAUCAACACCAUCUUCUAUAACUGGAUGUUCUAUCACUUGUAAAUGAUUUGUAAUGCAUGGUGAAUCUGAUGUGUUUCCUCCUACUAUCUAGAGCAGGGGUUUUAAAGCUUAGACCCAGUCAAUUCUUUAAAAUAGAACAUGACUUCCCACCCAUAAAACAAACCUAGAAAUGUAUAGCAGCUUUCAAAAUAGUGCCAGCAUAUGUGCUUUAAAUAUAUCAAACACAUAUUAAAUCCAUACAGGAACUUAAAUUUACAAAAUUUCAAGCAGUGUUUUCAUUUAAUUCUUCCUUUCAUCAUUGACAUGUCAACAAAGCCUAGAAAUUGCAUAAUCCCUCAGUUCUAAUAUAUAUACCCAAAAAAAGAUAAUAAAAUUUGGCGACAAAAGCUUCUUGAAAUAUUUCAUUUUAUGGCACAAAAAAAAGAAAAGAAAUAUUUCAUUUUACGCGCACACACGCCUAAAUCAAACAAAGAUCCAUAAUAUCCAUAAUAUGCAUACCAUGUCACCUCUUUCUGGCUUCUAAAUAGAUAGAGAACCAUUUCACCACGCUAAGGAUCUUUGUCCAUCUCAUCUGGGCCUUUUUAAUCAUGUUAUCUGUGUCAAUCAAGGGCUCCACAAGGCCUGGUUUACUCCAUAUCUUACUGUGUAGUCCUAAGUAAUUAGAGGUGCAUAUCACGAUAAAGGUCUUUCUCCAUCUCUUCCUGGCCAUCAACCAAUCCCUUGGCUGCCAUCAACCAAAUCACAGAGAGGGUAGCUCAAUUUAACAGAUUGGGAAAUGUUGAAUAUAAAGAAUAAAAAACCAUUGCGAUUAUAAUUUCUUCUAAUGCAAAAAAUCUCUGUUGUCAUCGAAGUAAAUGAACAGAGAAAUCUAUCCAAGCCUGAUGGCUUGGUUCAAAUUCAGGUAAAAUUGAUCUAACCUUGCCAUCUAAACGAAAAUUGUCUGUUUCGUCCUUCAAAUGAAUGUGAUCAUCCCACCAACUUUGUUGAGGAUCAAUGUAAUCAGGGAGUUCAUUGCAAUUUUCUAGAUCAAUUGGUGUCAAGCAUUGCUCUUCCCAAGGUCGAAAUAUUUCCAUGAUCUUAGCAUUCAUUAUUGUGUAUACAAAAUUGUCAUGUGAUGCAGUCUUUAUUGCCCCAUUCAUCAUCUUUCUUCGUGCAACUUCAAAUGCACUAGGCUUUAGGUCACAUGAACACUUACAAGGCUGGCUCAAAAGUCGUAUCGCAUACUUCUUUAGCACUGGAAGGCAGACCCCAGUAGCAUCCCACCAUGCACAAGGAUGAGACACUUGCAGCAAGUCGUAUGCCAAUGUAUUGAACAUCAGUGGCAUCUUUUGUUCAUAAAGUUUCACCUCUUCAACGAAUUUGUCCUUAUCUUGACUCGCCACCAUUGUUGAGAAAAUAAAUUUUAUGCCUGUCUUCAUUUCAGAGUUAAGUUCGAAGCCGUCGCGGCACAUGUAAGAUGGAUUCAGAAAAGCAGCAGCUGCGUGUAUUGGAUGGAUAAUCUUUUUACUUCUCCAUUCUUGAAAUAAAUCCCUUAUCUUUUCAUACUUCGUGCAGUCAUUACUAUAUUGUCUCUCAAUUGUUUCUUUUGCUUUUUCCAUUGCUUCAUACAAGUAUCCCAAGGUAGGUCUAUCAUCUUCUACUAAACGAAGUACAUGGAUUAAUGGCUCCAUAACAUUUAGUACCUCUUGCACUUGGCUCCAAAAUUUUCCACUUUCAAUAAUGUUUGUAUUCUUGAUUUUUUUCCUGUUCUGUUCCAGCAGCUUCCACUUCCCACAUUCAAGUUGUCGCAAUUCAUUCUUAUUGCCCAAAAUUGAUAGCAGCAUUUGAUAGUUGGAGGCAAAUUUAGACUCGCAAGGAUAUUUCAACUUCGAAAAAAUGUCAUCUUCAUACAUACAUUUUACCACCAAUGCUGCAUGAUCAAUUGUUUCUUGUAUCCAUCCAACUUCACUGUAUAUAGCUUUCAUGAGAGAAUGAAUCUCAUGAGCAACACACCGAAUCUGGCAUAUAUGAGAGUACUUAUUCAGAAGCAGAUUCUCAAUUGAAUAAUAAAUUGUAUCACUGUUCGUGAUAACUUGGACCACAUGAUCUUCCCCGAUGUCGUCAAUUACAGAGGAAACAAUGUCUUUCACAUCCAAUUUUGAAAUUUCCUGGAAUUUCAAAAACUCAGCUCCUUCAGCAGAAUAUGCGGUGAUACUAAUGAAGUUAUUCCACAUGCCAAUCAUUAUUGUGCAACCUUGCAUAGUCCAUGAAUGCCUCACUUUCGUAACAUAUUUCUCAACUUCCAUCUCAACUUCAAGAAAAGCAUUUCUUUGGAGCAUUAGAGAACUAGGCAGCUUAUAACUAAUGCCACAUUCAGCUACUCCCCUCACAAAAUCAACAAAAAAUGGUGCUUCAACAAUAUCAAAUGCAAUAUUGUUAGAGAGAAUGAAUAGGGCAAGUUUUUCAUUAACCACACUAUCAGCCAUUCCGCUUACUUUGUAUUGAUGCCUAACCUUUGAAAAAUACGAGCAAGAAGUUGAAUAACAUUCAUUGUCUUCUGCUUCACCUAGACCACUUUCAACUUCAACACGCUUAGAAUUGGAACUUGCAGAGUCAUCCCAAUCUUCAACACAUUCUUCCGCAUUAUUUGGUAACUGACGUUUUCUCCGAACCAUAUUAGCUGGGGACAGAGAGGACCGAGAAUUUGAUCCACCGAGAUGCAAUUCGUCGUCGUUUGAGCUGUAGGAGAACGAGGCACAAGCGGAGACAGAGAGAGGGAGAGAGUAAAACUAAACAGACUUAAGUCCUAAUUUAAUUAUAAUUUGGAACUGCAAUUGCAAAGUGCGGAAACAACCGACAUUCAUAAGUCAUUAUUUAUAGGUAAAAGAAAGCUGCGAUGACGGAGAAGAAAGUCACGACAUGUAGGAGAAGCUGAGCGCAUGAAAGAGACAGGCUGGUAUAUAUUUUAAUUUCAA
RNAcentral lists this unclassified non-coding RNA (3046 nucleotides) under Hevea brasiliensis (rubber tree). Lineage: Eukaryota; Viridiplantae; Streptophyta; Magnoliopsida; Malpighiales; Euphorbiaceae. The record is from RNAcentral.